CCUACGGGAGGCAGCAGUGGGGAAUAUUGCACAAUGGGCGAAAGCCUGAUGCAGCAACGCCGCGUGAGCGAUGAAGGCCUUCGGGUCGUAAAGCUCUGUCCUCAAGGAAGAUAAUGACGGUACUUGAGGAGGAAGCCCCGGCUAACUACGUGCCAGCAGCCGCGGUAAUACGUAGGGGGCUAGCGGUAUCCGGAAUUACUGGGCGUAAAGGGGGCGUAGGUGGUUUCUUAAGUCAGAGGUGAAAUGCUACGGCCCAACCGUCGGAAGCCCUUUAAACGGGGGAACUUGAGUGCAGGGGGGGAGAGUGGAAUUCCUAGUGUAGCGGUGAAAUGCGUAGAUAUUAGGAGGAACACCAGUUGCGAAGGCGGCUCUCUGGACUGUAACUGACACUGAGGCACGAAAGCGUGGGGAGCAAACAGGAUUAGAUACCCGGGUAGUC
RNAcentral lists this ribosomal RNA (439 nucleotides) under uncultured bacterium. RNAcentral describes it as "partial 16S ribosomal RNA". It matches the Rfam family "Bacterial small subunit ribosomal RNA", at positions 338 to 795 of the family's 1533-position model. The record is from RNAcentral.